CCUACGGGGUGCAGCAGUGGGGAAUAUUGGGCAAUGGGCGCAAGCCUGACCCAGCAACGCCGCGUGAAGGAAGAAGGCUUUCGGGUUGUAAACUUCUUUUCUGAGGGACGAAGAAAGUGACGGUACCUCAGGAACACGCCACGGCUAACUACGUGCCAGCCGCCGCGGUAAUACGUAGGUGGCAAGCGUUAUCCGGAUUUAUUGGGUGUAAAGGGCGUGUAGGCGGGAAAGCAAGUCAGAUGUGAAAACUCAGGGCUCAACCCUGAGCCUGCAUUGGAAACUGUUUUUCUUGAGUGCUGGAGAGGCAAUCGGAAUUCCGGGUGUAGCGGUGAAAUGCGUAGAUAUAAGGAGGAACACCAGUGGCGAAGGCGGAUUGCUGGACAGUAACUGACGCUGAGGCGCGAAAGCGUGGGGAGCAAACAGGAUUAGAUACCCGGGUAGUC
Molecule: ribosomal RNA, 443 nt
Filed under: uncultured bacterium
Lineage: Bacteria
Description: partial 16S ribosomal RNA
Rfam family: Bacterial small subunit ribosomal RNA
Source: RNAcentral